UACGAAGGGGGCGAGCGUUGUUCGGAAUCACUGGGCGUAAAGGGCGCGUAGGCGGCCCUUCUUGUCGCGUGUGAAAGCCCCGGGCUCAACCUGGGAACGGCGCGCGAGACGGGAGGGCUGGAGUUCGGGAGAGGAGCGUGGAAUUCCCAGUGUAGAGGUGAAAUUCGUAGAUAUUGGGAAGAACACCGGUGGCGAAGGCGGCGCUCUGGACCGAGACUGACGCUGAGGCGCGAAGGCGUGGGGAGCGAACGGG
RNAcentral lists this ribosomal RNA (253 nucleotides) under uncultured bacterium. RNAcentral describes it as "partial 16S ribosomal RNA". It matches the Rfam family "Bacterial small subunit ribosomal RNA", at positions 524 to 776 of the family's 1533-position model. The record is from RNAcentral.